This 300-nucleotide ribosomal RNA is filed under the name uncultured Parachlamydia sp. RNAcentral describes it as "bacterial SSU rRNA". It matches the Rfam family "Bacterial small subunit ribosomal RNA", at positions 496 to 795 of the family's 1533-position model. The record is from RNAcentral. Lineage: Bacteria; Pseudomonadati; Chlamydiota; Chlamydiia; Parachlamydiales; Parachlamydiaceae.
GCUAACUCCGUGCCAGCAGCUGCGGUAAUACGGAGGGUGCAAGCAUUAAUCGGAUUUACUGGGCGUAAAGGGCGCGUAGGCGGGAGAGAAAGUCAAAUGUGAAAUUCCGGUGCUCAACAUCGGAACUGCAUUUGAAACUUCUUUUCUUGAGGGUAGACGGAGAAAGCGGAAUUCCACAUGUAGCGGUGAAAUGCGUAGAUAUGUGGAAGAACACCUGUGGCGAAAGCGGCUUUCUAGUUUAUACCUGACGCUGAGGCGCGAGAGUGAGGGGAGCAAACAGGAUUAGAUACCCUGGUAGUC